RNAcentral lists this non-coding RNA (25 nucleotides) under Mus musculus (house mouse). RNAcentral also lists the same sequence under 1 other name. Lineage: Eukaryota; Metazoa; Chordata; Mammalia; Rodentia; Muridae. The record is from RNAcentral.
CAGCAAACUCCAUGAUCUUCUGGCC